UAACUUACAAAUCAACUUCUUCUCUUAUUCUCAAAUCAAUGAAAUCAAAUUCUUUAAAUUAUUAGGUCUAUAAAAUGAUACAAUUAUGGGAUAACUUGUUCAUAGCCUCCUAUUAAGGUGCGUGAUAAUGAGUUCAAUAUUUCAAAUAAGUAUUGGAGGCACCACAUGCCUGGUGUCUAUUACGUAUUGAAAUUAUCAUUCAUCAUAUGACCAUUCUGUUGUACUUUUAGAUUAAUGCUCAGGUUGGCUGAGCCACACUCAGAUCUGGACAUUCAUUUGUUAGAUGCACUUGAUAUUGCCAUGUUAAUGGUUGGACCUAACUAAGAUUUUCAGUGAAGGCG
This 341-nucleotide long non-coding RNA is filed under the name Elaeis guineensis (African oil palm). RNAcentral describes it as "long non-coding RNA (EGUI_LNC029775)". The record is from RNAcentral. Lineage: Eukaryota; Viridiplantae; Streptophyta; Magnoliopsida; Arecales; Arecaceae.